GAUGAACGCUGGCGGCGUGCCUAAUACAUGCAAGUCGAGCGAACAGACGAGGAGCUUGCUCCUCUGAUGUUAGCGGCGGACGGGUGAGUAACACGUGGAUAACCUACCUAUAAGACUGGGAUAACUUCGGGAAACCGGAGCUAAUACCGGAUAAUAUAUUGAACCGCAUGGUUCAAUAGUGAAAGACGGUCUUGCUGUCACUUAUAGAUGGAUCCGCGCCGCAUUAGCUAGUUGGUAAGGUAACGGCUUACCAAGGCAACGAUGCGUAGCCGACCUGAGAGGGUGAUCGGCCACACUGGAACUGAGACACGGUCCAGACUCCUACGGGAGGCAGCAGUAGGGAAUCUUCCGCAAUGGGCGAAAGCCUGACGGAGCAACGCCGCGUGAGUGAUGAAGGUCUUCGGAUCGUAAAACUCUGUUAUUAGGGAAGAACAAAUGUGUAAGUAACUGUGCACGUCUUGACGGUACCUAAUCAGAAAGCCACGGCUAACUACGUG
Molecule: ribosomal RNA, 497 nt
Filed under: uncultured bacterium
Lineage: Bacteria
Description: partial 16S ribosomal RNA
Rfam family: Bacterial small subunit ribosomal RNA
Source: RNAcentral